This 469-nucleotide ribosomal RNA is filed under the name uncultured Streptococcus sp. Its description in RNAcentral is "bacterial SSU rRNA". It matches the Rfam family "Bacterial small subunit ribosomal RNA", at positions 916 to 1381 of the family's 1533-position model. Lineage: Bacteria; Bacillati; Bacillota; Bacilli; Lactobacillales; Streptococcaceae. The record is from RNAcentral.
GACGGGGCCCGCACAAGCGGUGGAGCAUGUGGUUUUAAUUCGAAGCAACGCGAAGAACCUUACCAGGUCUUGACAUCCCGAUGCUAUUUCUAGAGAUAGAAAGUUACUUCGGUACAUCGGUGACAGGUGGUGCAUGGUUGUCGUCAGCUCGUGUCGUGAGAUGUUGGGUUAAGUCCCGCAACGAGCGCAACCCCUAUUGUUAGUUGCCAUCAUUCAGUUGGGCACUCUAGCGAGACUGCCGGUAAUAAACCGGAGGAAGGUGGGGAUGACGUCAAAUCAUCAUGCCCCUUAUGACCUGGGCUACACACGUGCUACAAUGCCCACUACAAAGCGAGGCCACCCGGCAACGGGGAGCUAAUCGCAAAAAGGUGGGCCCAGUUCGGAUUGGGGUCUGCAACCCGACCCCAUGAAGCCGGAAUCGCUAGUAAUCGCGGAUCAGCACGCCGCGGUGAAUACGUUCCCGGGCCUU